RNAcentral lists this ribosomal RNA (304 nucleotides) under uncultured Planctomycetota bacterium. Its description in RNAcentral is "bacterial SSU rRNA". It matches the Rfam family "Bacterial small subunit ribosomal RNA", at positions 29 to 351 of the family's 1533-position model. The record is from RNAcentral. Lineage: Bacteria; Pseudomonadati; Planctomycetota.
AAUGAACGUUGGCGGCGUGGAUUAGGCAUGCAAGUCGCGCGAUAAGCGUAGCAAUACGUAGAAAGCGGCGUAAGGGAGAGUAAUACAUGGUUAGCUACCCUCGGGACUGGGAUAGCGGCGGGAAACUGCCGGUAAUACCAGAUGACAUCUUCGGAUCAAACGUGUGAAUCGGCCCGAGGAGGCGACCAUGUCCUAUCAGCUAGUUGGCGGUGUAACGGACCACCAAGGCUAAGACGGGUAUGGGGCGUGAGAGCGUGCCCCCACUCACUGGGACUGAGAUACUGCCCAGACACCUACGGGGCAG